Molecule: long non-coding RNA, 667 nt
Filed under: Nicotiana tabacum (common tobacco)
Lineage: Eukaryota; Viridiplantae; Streptophyta; Magnoliopsida; Solanales; Solanaceae
Description: long non-coding RNA (NTAB_LNC008443)
Source: RNAcentral
ACUGUUUCAUCGUCUUUUUCUGUCUAUUGCCAUUCACUUCUCCCCUCUCUCUUCUCACACCAGUUCAUCUUCAACCUCCCCUCCAAAAACUCUCCAUUCUCUGCCAUUUUUAUAAAUUCUGAAUUGCUAAAUUAUUUCACUACUUUUGUAAGAAAAACUCAUAUUUUUACGCCAUAUAUCUGCUUUUGCUGGCUUCUAGUGUGUGAGCUUCUAUUGUAUUACCAAGCUCAAGUUUCUGACCUUGAUUAGAGUUUUUGAAGCGAUAAUGUGGGCCUAAAUUCUGGUAACUUUUAUUUUUAUCAAUUCAAACUGAAUAAAAGUUUGCAUUUUUUUUUUCCUUUUCUUAUGUCCACAUAUAUUUUCCUAAAAUGCCCAUGUAAAAAGUCAUUCAAAAUUGCAUUUUUAUUGUGGGUUUGUGAAUUAAUUAGCAAAUUAAUGAAUAUUGGUUUAAAGGGUAUUAAGCUCAUGAUUUCAUGCUAGACUCAAUUUGAGCAAGAAUUUUCAAAAGGUGUUUGGAAUUAUCCACUUUUCAACGGGUUAAAGUGCCAAGUUUUGCUUGCUUUUUCAUCCUAUGGGGAUUACAUACUUUUGUAUACAGUUACCGUUACAUUUUAUUUUGCAGUAUCAGAUUCUCUCACAAAAUCUAUGAAUUUAAAGUACCUAAAGU